This 2597-nucleotide ribosomal RNA is filed under the name Malassezia furfur. RNAcentral's name for it is "LSU rRNA". It matches the Rfam family "Bacterial large subunit ribosomal RNA", at positions 1 to 2608 of the family's 2925-position model. Lineage: Eukaryota; Fungi; Basidiomycota; Malasseziomycetes; Malasseziales; Malasseziaceae. The record is from RNAcentral.
AUAUAGGCAUCAUAAACAAUAUGGAGUAUACAAUUAAGUAAUAAAAGGGAUUCGUAAGGAUACCUAGCAGAUAUAUUUUAAAGGAUAUAUUUAUAAAAAGUUGAAGUGAAUAAUUUGAAUACUUUAACAAUCCUAAGGAAAACCAAUAUAAUAAAAUACGUUGGGAAUUAAAACAUUUAAGUACCAAUAGGAAAGGAAAUCAAACGAGACUUCUGGAGUAAUGGUGAGUGAAACAGAAUGAGCCUUAUUCUUUUGUCUAUUCUGUUCCAAUGGACUCAUUAAUAUUGUGGAAUUCAAUAUUAUGCUGUGUAUAUUCACAGUUACCAAAGACGGUGAUAGUCCGGUGAUAGUUUUUUAGUUCAAUGAAUAGAUGAGGAAUUAAAUAAAGUAAUAUGGAGACGGCUGCUCUGUAUGAAUUUAUAAUAUCUAAGAAAUUAGAUAAUGGGAUACCAUUCUCAAAGGCUAAGUAUAAUAUAUCUAGCGAUAGUGAAGAGUAACGUGAGUGAAAGGUGAAAAGUAAGUGUAUGACUAGUGAAAGAGAUCUUGAAUUACGAAUCCUACAAGCAGUUAGAGUCUAAUAGAAUUAGAUGAUAACGUACCUUUUGCAUAAUGGGUCAGCAAGUUAAUUUUCAAUGCAAGACUAAUAAGUCCUAGUGAAAACGUCUAUGUUUUCUUUAUUUAAAGAUAAAGAAUAUAUGGGUAGAGUAUUGAGAAUUAGAUCCGAAACCAGAUGAUCUUUUUAUGACCAGGUUUAAAAGGACCGAACGUAUGAAUGUUGCAGUAUUCUGCGAUGAGUUGUGAAAAGGGGUGAAAUGCCAAUCUAAUCUGGUGAUAGCUGAUAUUCUGCGAAAUCUAUUUUAGUAGAAAGUAUAUGUAGAUAUAUUUCUGUAUAGCACUGAUUUCCAUUUCUCGUAACCUAUUAGGUUGCACAUAGAAUAAAUUAGGGGGUUAUAAACUCUACUAUUGGAAGUUAACCUCAGAAGGAGAUACUAUCGGUCAUAUACUGACAGUCUAUUUGUGAUAAGGUAAAUAGACAAAAGGGAAACAGCCCAGAUCAUAUAUUAAGGUGCCCUAAAUAAUAUUAAGUGAAAAUAAGAGAGUUUUGUGUUCAAGACAGCUAUGAAGUAAGCUUGGAAGUAGCUAUCUUUUAAUGAAAGUGUAACAACUCAAUAGUCGAUUUUCUGGACACAAAGCAUCGAAGAUUUAUCGGGUCUAGAUAUUAAACCUAAAUUAUGAUAUUAAUGAAUUAAUUAGAUUAUUAUUUAAUUCUUAAUAAGGUAGCAGAACACUUAGUAGUUAGGUUGAAGAAUAUUCCUAAGAAUAUUUGGACUCUACUAAAGAGAGAAUGCUGGCAUGAGUAACGAUUAAGAAGUUAUAAUACUUCUCGCCGAAUACGAAAGGUUUUCAUGAAAAAGGUAAUCUGUCAUGAUUUAAACGGAUUCUAAGGUGUAAUAUACGAAUUGUUGUUACCCGAUGAAAUAGAAGAAUACUAUUCCUGAAAUCUUAGUAAGGAACAAGAAAAAUAUUCUUUUAAUUAUAUUAUAUCCGUACCUUAAACCGACACAGGUUCGUAGGUAGAGUAUACUAAGGCGUAGAGAUAAGGCUAGUGAAGGAACUCGGCAAAAUGCUUCCGUAAGUUCGACGAUAAGGAAGGAGUGUAUAUAUACCAUAUACACUUAGCAUAAAAGUGGGGGCUUCGACUGUUUACUAAAAACACAGCAACUUGCUAAGACUAGAAGUACUUGUAUAAGUUGUGAACUCUGUCCAAUGCCAAUCCGUGUAAGGGAGGUGAUUUUAGCGUUAGCUAAUUGUCACUAACUGAUGCGGUGGUCAAUGACGGUCUUAACCAUAAGGAUCUGAAAGUAGCGAAAUUCCUUGGCCAUUAAAUGUGGUCCUGCAUGAAUGAGGUAACGCGGCUAACUGAUGCGGUGGUCAAUGACGGUCUUAACCAUAAGGAUCUGAAAGUAGCGAAAUUCCUUGGCCAUUAAAUGUGGUCCUGCAUGAAUGAGGUAACGCGGCCCUGCUGUCUCCACUAGCUCCUCAGUGAAAUUGAAUUAGCCGUGCAGAUGCGGUUUGCCUUCCGGAGGACGCGAAGACCCUAUGCAGCUUUACUGUAAUUUGAUAUUGUUCUUGAUUAGAUCUAGUGUAGAAUACAAGGGAGUGUAAACGCCAGUGAAAUACCUUGAUAGAUCUUAAUUAGGAACUAAUUUAUAGCAAUAUAGAGACAGUAUCAGAGGGUCAGUUUUACUGGGGCGGUAGCCUCUAAGAAAGUAUCAGAGGCCUUCAAAGGUAUAUUUAUAUUGGUCAGAAACCAAUGAGCAUCUAUACGCUCAUCAAAGUGUAAUGAUAAAAUAUGCUUGACUGAAAGACUGAUAGGUCGAUCAGCUACGCAAGUAGGACAUAGUGAUCCGGUGAUUCAUAAUGGAAUGAUCAUCGCUCAAGAAAUAAAAGUUACGCUAGGGAUAACAGGUUUAUCGUUUGCAAGAGUUCAUAUUGUCCAAACGGUUUGACACCUCGAUGUCGACUCAUCUCAUCCUCCAGGUGUAGUAGCUUGGAAGGGUUCAGCUGUUCGCUGAAUAAAGAGGUACGUGAGUUGG